AAUCGUGAAAGAAGCAAUUCGAAGAGCGAGGAUAACGUUUUGAAAGGCUGGAGAUCUCAAGUUGAAGAUAAUCUCGAAACCAGUGGUUUUAUGCGGUCGAUAUGCAAAAUCGUGAAAGAAGCAAUUCGAAGAGCGAGGAUAACGUUUUGGAAGGCAGGACAUUUCAAGUUGAAGAUAAUCUCGAAACCAGUGGUUUUAUGCGGUCGAUAUGCAAAAUCGUGAAAGAAGCAAUUCGAAGAGCGAGGAUAACGUUUUGGA
Molecule: non-coding RNA, 258 nt
Organism: Nylanderia fulva
Lineage: Eukaryota; Metazoa; Arthropoda; Insecta; Hymenoptera; Formicidae
Source: RefSeq, a predicted model, not a curated record